AAAAAAAAAAAAAAAAAAGGUGAUUAUUCUUUUUGAAUUACAAGAGUAGGAUUUGGUUGGUUUAGAAAUUAUAGAUUUUAUUGUUUGUUCAUUAGAAGUGGCCAUGGAGAUACGGAAAAGAGUGCCUUGGACCAUUUGCAACUUCAUGAAAUUGCAGCCUCUGGAUAUGCUUCCAAGCACAUGUUGAAAAACAAAAAAUUUGGCAGAAAUCUUUGAAGCAGCAAACCUUGGUAUGGUAUCUGGUUUGAGGUUUCUCAUGAGUUGCAAUGGGAUUGGGAUUGGGUUUGUCGUGGAAAAGUCAUCAAGUUAAAUUCAAUUUAUGUUGACAAAAUUUUACUCAGCUAACAAUUGCAAUUGGGGACUCAAGAGAAAUUUU
This 376-nucleotide unclassified non-coding RNA is filed under the name Hevea brasiliensis (rubber tree). Lineage: Eukaryota; Viridiplantae; Streptophyta; Magnoliopsida; Malpighiales; Euphorbiaceae. The record is from RNAcentral.